Molecule: ribosomal RNA, 497 nt
Filed under: uncultured bacterium
Lineage: Bacteria
Description: partial 16S ribosomal RNA
Rfam family: Bacterial small subunit ribosomal RNA
Source: RNAcentral
GAUGAACGCUGGCGGCGUGCCUAAUACAUGCAAGUCGAGCGAACGGACGAGAAGCUUGCUUCUCUGAUGUUAGCGGCGGACGGGUGAGUAACACGUGGAUAACCUACCUAUAAGACUGGGAUAACUUCGGGAAACCGGAGCUAAUACCGGAUGAUAUUUUGAACCGCAUGGUUCAAAAGUGAAAGACGGUCUUGCUGUCACUUAUAGAUGGAUCCGCGCUGCAUUAGCUAGUUGGUAAGGUAACGGCUUACCAAGGCAACGAUGCAUAGCCGACCUGAGAGGGUGAUCGGCCACACUGGAACUGAGACACGGUCCAGACUCCUACGGGAGGCAGCAGUAGGGAAUCUUCCGCAGUGGGCGAAAGCCUGCCGGAGCAACGCCGCGUGAGUGAUGAAGGUCUUCGGAUCGUAAAACUCUGUUAUUAGGGAAGAACAUAUGUGUAAGUAACUGUGCACAUCUUGACGGUACCUAAUCAGAAAGCCACGGCUAACUACGUG